AAACCAACAGGGAUUCCCUUAGUAACGGCGAGUGAACCGGGAAAAGCUCAAAUUUGAAAUCUGCCAACAGGCCGAGUUGUAAUUUGUAGAUGGCUACACUGCAUAAUAGUAGAUGCUCAAGUUCUUUGGAAAAAGACAUCAUGGAGGGUGACAAUCCCGUGAGGCAUGUUACUAGGAGCAUAUAGUGGGCUUUCUAAGAGUCGAGUUGUUUGGGAAUGCAGCUCAAAGUGCGUGGUGAAUACCAUGUAAAGCUAAAUAUGGACGAGAGACCGAUAGCGAACAAGUACUGUGAAGGAAAGAUGAAAAGCACUCCGAAAGGAGAGUGAAAUAGUACGUGAAAUUGUUAAAGUGGAAGGGCUUGAGAUCAGAAUUGGUAGUUUGGGUUCCACGUCCUCUUGGGGGCGUGUACUCCCUUUCCACCGGGCCAGCGGGAGUUUCGUCUCUUGGGUAAAAGCAGUGGAAUGUAGCAGCUUGUCUGUAUUAUAGCCUCUGUUCAUACAAGACGUCGAGACUUAUUUGUUGGCGUAAU
This 529-nucleotide ribosomal RNA is filed under the name Wickerhamiella pararugosa. RNAcentral describes it as "eukaryotic LSU rRNA". It matches the Rfam family "Eukaryotic large subunit ribosomal RNA", at positions 62 to 594 of the family's 3401-position model. Lineage: Eukaryota; Fungi; Ascomycota; Dipodascomycetes; Dipodascales; Trichomonascaceae. The record is from RNAcentral.